CCAAACCCCAGGUUCACGGCCAGCGGGCAAACUCGCCCACCACACCUCGGUCUCCUAAGACCCUUUCCUUGGCAAUCCAAUGAAAGCUCGGUGGAACGACAAAAGCUACAACUCAGCGUGCACAUGACACCGCCACUUGUGCUUCCUAGGAGGGUGAGAGGAGAUGAGGCAGGUGCCACUAAUCCACCCUAAAAAUAGGGAGAAGGAUGAGCUUUCGUGUCGGGGGUUGGGGUGUUCACACUUAAAACAUAAAUCAACUGGCAAAUUCAGCCCAACUCACGUGCUGGCCCUGUCCACACAGACGUCGACUCCAGCAAAAAUGUCCUGACUGACUUCAGGAGAGAUAGGAAUUAUUGCUACGUGCCUCUUUCCCAGUGAAGAAAAUCUCUGUUGGCUGCGGGCAGAGAAGCGGCGGAAGGAUUCCCGACUCCGGGAAGCCAGGUGUCGGAAGGAGGAAGUGCGCUUGAAGGGGGUCCGGCUGGCCGACUCUGCACUCGUCCGUUCGUGGCCCACCGUGGUGGUCACCAAAUUGAGGGCUUCCUGGAAGGACCUCCUCACGGUGCCCAUCCAGUGGGUCAUGUGGGUCUGAGCCACCGUGAGUUUAUCUCCCAGCUGUCUCUCCCUCCCUCUCUGGAAGGCAACACUGAUCCAGGAUCUCACUCUGUUGCCCAGGCUGGACUGCAGUGGCUUGAUCACAGCUCACUGCAGCCUUGGCCUCCCAGGCUCAAGCGAUCCUCCCACCUCAGCCUCCUGAGUAGCUAGGACUACAGGUGGAGCAACACCGUCAGUCAGAAGGCAGCGGAUGGCACAGGGCUUCCGCGUAAGGCCUGCAUCGCCUGAGUCAUGGUUUUCUCAUCUUGUAUGAGGCCCACCCCCUUCAAAAGGUUGUGACAAAAAAAACAACUGAGAUAAUUUGUGCUGCUGGCACACAGUUAACACUCAAUAAGGCCGGGCACAGUGGCUUACACCUCUAAUCCCAGCACUUUGGGAGGCUGAGGCAGGUGGAUCACUUGAGGCCAGGAGUUCGAUACCAGCCUGACCAACAUGGUGAAACCCCAUCUCAACUAAAAAUACAAAAAUUAGCCAGGCAUGGUGGUGUGCACCUGUAGUCCCAGCUACUUGGGAGCCUGAGGCAGGAGCAUCUCUUGAACCCGGGAGGUGGAGGUUGCAGUGAGCAGAGAUCGCACCACUGCACUCCAGCCUGGGUGACAGAACAAGACUCUGUCUCAAAACAACAACAACAACAAAAUAAUAAAUGGUGACCACAAGG
This is a long non-coding RNA of Pan troglodytes (chimpanzee), 1270 nucleotides long. RefSeq lists it as uncharacterized. The transcript is spliced from 5 exons. Lineage: Eukaryota; Metazoa; Chordata; Mammalia; Primates; Hominidae. The record is from RefSeq and is a predicted model, not a curated record.